AUCGCUUCUCAGCCUUUUGGCUAAGAUCAAGUGUAGUAUCUGUUCUUAUCAGUUUAAUAAGAAAGACAUCGAGGAACUGCCAGAUAAAGGAUUCUUAAAAACCACU
Small nuclear RNA from Ochotona princeps (American pika), 106 nucleotides. Its record names the gene U2. It matches the Rfam family "U2 spliceosomal RNA". From Rfam's summary of the family: U2 is a small nuclear RNA (snRNA) component of the spliceosome (involved in pre-mRNA splicing). Complementary binding between U2 snRNA (in an area lying towards the 5' end but 3' to hairpin I) and the branchpoint sequence (BPS) of the intron results the bulging out of an unpaired adenosine, on the BPS, which initiates a nucleophilic attack at the intronic 5' splice site, thus starting the first of two transesterification reactions that mediate splicing. The record is from Ensembl. NCBI's taxonomy places the organism in Eukaryota, Metazoa, Chordata, Mammalia, Lagomorpha, Ochotonidae.